Cephus cinctus (wheat stem sawfly) is the source of this 227-nucleotide long non-coding RNA. RefSeq lists it as uncharacterized. NCBI's taxonomy places the organism in Eukaryota, Metazoa, Arthropoda, Insecta, Hymenoptera, Cephidae. The record is from RefSeq and is a predicted model, not a curated record. The transcript has 2 exons.
AUUAACUUCGAAUCAAGCUUAAAAACUAAUAAGACAAAUAUUAUCAAGAAUAUCAACGCUUCGAAUUUAUUUAUUUUUUAAAGAAUUAGCCUAACUGGAAGGAAAUACAUUAAUAAUGAUGCAACUUGCAGCAGCAAUUUAAGUCUAUAAGAAGUAUAGAACCAUGGCAUCAAUUUACGGAUUCAAUUCAUGCUAUCGCAAUUAAUGCCGUUAUUUGAAAAAAAAAA